UACGUAGGGUGCGAGCGUUGUCCGGAAUUAUUGGGCGUAAAGAGCUCGUAGGCGGUGUGUCACGUCGGCCGUGAAAACCUGCAGCUUAACUGUGGGCGUGCGGUCGAUACGGGCAUCACUGGAGUUCGGCAGGGGAGACUGGAAUUCCUGGUGUAGCGGUGAAAUGCGCAGAUAUCAGGAGGAACACCUGUGGCGAAGGCGGGUCUCUGGGCCGAUACUGACGCUGAGGAGCGAAAGCGUGGGGAGCAAACAGG
This 254-nucleotide ribosomal RNA is filed under the name uncultured bacterium. RNAcentral describes it as "partial 16S ribosomal RNA". It matches the Rfam family "Bacterial small subunit ribosomal RNA", at positions 524 to 776 of the family's 1533-position model. The record is from RNAcentral.